This is a non-coding RNA of Dermacentor albipictus, 989 nucleotides long. The record is from RefSeq and is a predicted model, not a curated record. NCBI's taxonomy places the organism in Eukaryota, Metazoa, Arthropoda, Arachnida, Ixodida, Ixodidae.
GGCAUUUUUGGGCCACAAAACUGCAUCGCACGAAAAAGUACGGCUGUUACUUUCAGCGAACAACAAAUCUCAUGAAGAAACAUUUUUCAUUGUAGAGCAGAACGUGCCGGUAACACUGAGUGGCUCAGCGGCGGAACGUUUGGGGUUCAUCAGACGCUUGCAGAGCAUUGAAUACGAACACAUUUACCCCCUCAGCACAGCCUUUUGCCGAAGUCUUCAAAGGACUCGGCCAGCUAAGGGACUUCGAGUACGAAAUGAAGCUCAAGCCCGGUGCCGCGGGUAUCGUCGUGCCAGCUAGAAGAGUCGCUGUGGCCCUUCAAGACGAGGUGAAGACCGAACUACAGCGCAUGGAAGAACAAGGAGUAACCAAGCAACCGACAGCAAUCCAACCCUGCUCAAGCUACGAGGAUAUGUGGAAACAAGCCGGCCGGACAAUAAACGCGAUAUCCCGGAAGCCGUGCGCCCCUACUGGUCAUACCGGGAGGACAUACACACCCAGGAUGGCCUACUGUUCCGCAGCGAUAAGGGAUGCGAUGCUGAAGUCCCCUGCGCAGAGACUCAUGGGACGACUCACUAGAACUCUGCUCCCAGUACCCACAACGCACCUGGUGCCAGAGAUGGUGCCCUGCAAAGCUGUUCACCGCCAUCUGCAGGAAAUCCAUCAGCGCCAGAAAAUCUACAACCGGGGCUCCAGACAGCUGCCUCCCCCCCCCUCCCCCCCCUCGCAGGGGCAACAGGUAACAGCGUACGACACUCUUCACCGGACCUGGGCACCUGCUGUAUUCCUAAGGCCAGCGGAAGCACCACGUUCAGCGAUCCUGAAAACGGAAGACGGCCAGGAGAUUAGGUGGACCCGAGAGCAUCUACGCGACGUGGCCCCACAACCACACGAUCCUCUAGAGACUGAUGCCUCAUACGUCGAACCUCCUUUCCCAGUGCUACGACGAAGCAUACGGCAACGUCGCAAGCCCUGUCUGUACCCAUUGCCU